RNAcentral lists this ribosomal RNA (292 nucleotides) under uncultured bacterium. RNAcentral's name for it is "partial 16S ribosomal RNA". The record is from RNAcentral.
GGACUACCAGGGUAUCUAAUCCCGUUGGCUCCCCUGGCUUUCGUCUGUCAGCGUCAGGAUCUUCCCAGGACAGUGCCUUCGCCUUUGGUGUUCCUCCGGAUCUCUACGCAUUUCACCACUCCACCCGGAAUUCCCUGUCCCUCUGAAGCCCUCAAGUCUGCCAGUUUUCAGAGGCCUUUGCCAGUUAAGCUGGCAACUGUGACUCUAAACCCAACAGACCGCCUGCCGACCCUUUACGCCCAGUAACUCCGGACAACGCUUGCUCCCUACGUCUUACCGCGGCUGCUGGCAC